RNAcentral lists this ribosomal RNA (243 nucleotides) under Staphylococcus aureus. RNAcentral describes it as "partial 23S ribosomal RNA". It matches the Rfam family "Bacterial large subunit ribosomal RNA", at positions 513 to 759 of the family's 2925-position model. The record is from RNAcentral. Lineage: Bacteria; Bacillati; Bacillota; Bacilli; Caryophanales; Staphylococcaceae.
GGUGAAAAGCACCCCGGAAGGGGAGUGAAAUAGAACCUGAAACCGUGUGCUUACAAGUAGUCAGAGCCCGUUAAUGGGUGAUGGCGUGCCUUUUGUAGAAUGAACCGGCGAGUUACGAUUUGAUGCAAGGUUAAGCAGUAAAUGUGGAGCCGUAGCGAAAGCGAGUCUGAAUAGGGCGUUUAGUAUUUGGUCGUAGACCCGAAACCAGGUGAUCUACCCUUGGUCAGGUUGAAGUUCAGGUAA